GACGAACGCUGGCGGCGUGCCUAAUACAUGCAAGUCGAGCGAAUCUCGAGGAGCUUGCUCCUUGAGAUUAGCGGCGGACGGGUGGGUAACACGUGGGCAACCUGCCUGUAAGACUGGGAUAACACCGGGAAGCCGGUGCUAAUACCGGAUAAUUCUUCUCCUCACAUGAGGGGAAGCUGAAAGUCGGUUUCGGCUGACACUUACAGAUGGGCCCGCGGCGCAUUAGCUAGUUGGUGAGGUAACGGCUCACCAAGGCGACGAUGCGUAGCCGACCUGAGAGGGUGAUCGGCCACACUGGGACUGAGACACGGCCCAGACUCCUACGGGAGGCAGCAGUAGGGAAUCUUCCGCAAUGACGAAAGUCUGACGGAGCAACGCCGCGUGAGUGAUGAAGGCCUUCGGGCCGUAAAACUCUGUUGUUAGGGAAGAACAAGUAUCGGAGUAACUGCCGGUACCUUGACGGUACCUAACCAGAAAGCCACGGCUAACUACGUGCCAGCCGCCGCCGUAA
RNAcentral lists this ribosomal RNA (511 nucleotides) under uncultured bacterium. RNAcentral's name for it is "partial 16S ribosomal RNA". It matches the Rfam family "Bacterial small subunit ribosomal RNA", at positions 28 to 523 of the family's 1533-position model. The record is from RNAcentral.